Long non-coding RNA from Juglans microcarpa x Juglans regia, 376 nucleotides. RefSeq lists it as uncharacterized. The record is from RefSeq and is a predicted model, not a curated record. NCBI's taxonomy places the organism in Eukaryota, Viridiplantae, Streptophyta, Magnoliopsida, Fagales, Juglandaceae. The transcript is spliced from 3 exons.
AAUCCUUGAAACAGUUCAUGUGGACUACAUGUAAUUCUGAAGCAUCAAUUACAUGUCCAGUGUACAAAGUUGAUGAGUGCAAAAAAGUAGAGUUAAAAUGCAGUAGUUGAGAAACUAAGGUCAAUCUUUUUCGUGAUAUUUACUCCCUUUUCCAUUGGAGUUUUUCUUCUUCUUUGACGCCAUUUCUUUGAUUUUGGGACGUGACAAGGUGGGGAUUUUUUGGAUCCAUAGAGUGGAAGGUAUGUGGAAUUUUGUGUUAGAGUUUUUGUUUAACUUUAGAGUUCGAGGAAAAUGAAAUUUGUGAUUUGAAAAUUCUUUCAAUUUAAAGAUUUGCUUGUUUGUUGAGAAAAUGGAUGAAGUAAAGGAACAACUUUGU